RNAcentral lists this ribosomal RNA (253 nucleotides) under uncultured bacterium. Its description in RNAcentral is "partial 16S ribosomal RNA". It matches the Rfam family "Bacterial small subunit ribosomal RNA", at positions 524 to 776 of the family's 1533-position model. The record is from RNAcentral.
UACGUAGGGGGCAAGCGUUGUCCGGAAUCAUUGGGCGUAAAGCGCGUGUAGGCGGCCCGGUAAGUCCGCUGUGAAAGUCGGGGGCUCAACCCUGGGAUGCCGGUGGAUACUGUCGGACUAGAGUACGGAAGAGGCGAGUGGAAUUCCCGGUGUAGCGGUGAAAUGCGCAGAUAUCGGGAGGAACACCAAUUGCGAAGGCAGCUCGCUGGGACGUCACUGACGCUGAGACGCGAAAGCGUGGGGAGCAAACAGG